RNAcentral lists this ribosomal RNA (445 nucleotides) under uncultured bacterium. Its description in RNAcentral is "SSU rRNA". It matches the Rfam family "Bacterial small subunit ribosomal RNA", at positions 26 to 518 of the family's 1533-position model. The record is from RNAcentral.
AGAGCGAACGCUGGCGGCAGGCCUAACACAUGCAAGUCGAGCGCCCGUAGCAAUACGGGAGCGGCAGACGGGAUAGUAACACGUGGGAACGCGCCCUUCGGUUCGGAAUAACUCAGGGAAACUUGAGCUAAUACCGGAUACGCCCUUACGGGGAAAGAUUUAUUGCCGAAGGAACGGCCCGCGUCCGAUUAGCUAGUUGGUGAGGUAAUGGCUCACCAAGGCGACGAUCGGUAGCUGGUCUGAGAGGAUGACCAGCAUCACUGGGACUGAGACACGGCCCAGACUCCUACGGGAGGCAGCAGUGGGGAAUAUGGACAAUGGGCGCAAGCCUGAUCCAGCCAUGCCGCGUGGAUGAUGAAGGCCUUAGGGUUGUAAAGUCCUUUUAACGGGGAAGAUAAUGACGGUACCGUAGAAUAAGCCCGGCUAACUUCGUGCCAGCAGCCGC